GGGGGCGAUCGGUAUCGACCGAAGAGCCUGUGUGGUGAGGAAGGAUGCCGAGGACGCACGUGACCUCGUAAAUCAUCGGGCACAAAACAAGUGUCGAAGACACGAACUACGCUCUCGCAGCCUAAUAGUGCUCCGAGCGUGCUGCGGCGGUUGCCUGGACGGCCGUAGAACGACAUUGCAAACAGGCUGGCGCCAAAACCCUGUCACGGGGCAAGGCGUGAGAUCCUAGUGACUCGCCAUGCCGCAGUUUGUCCAUCAACGGCGGCGCGGUCAGAAAUCAAGGACGGACUAAGCAUCUAGAUGCCUUACCAGUCAGCUUUGCGGCACGCGGGUUCGAUUCCCGCCGCCUCCACCA
RNAcentral lists this transfer-messenger RNA (355 nucleotides) under Planctomycetota. RNAcentral describes it as "H3-PLA7 sp016722065 Standard tmRNA". It matches the Rfam family "transfer-messenger RNA". From Rfam's summary of the family: Bacterial tmRNA, also known as 10Sa RNA or SsrA, is named for its dual tRNA and mRNA-like properties. Its role is to liberate the mRNA from a stalled ribosome. To accomplish this part of the tmRNA is used as a reading frame that ends in a translation stop signal. The record is from RNAcentral. Lineage: Bacteria; Pseudomonadati. RNAcentral also lists the same sequence under 1 other name.